UUAAAAGUCAUGUAUCCAGUCCUGGGUACAUAUAGCAGGGACUUAGCUGUGUUCUGUGUGACCCCAAGGGGUACAGUGGGACCAAUCAGUGGGAGAUAGAAAGAAACAGAUUUUAGCUCAAUAUUAGGUGGGGUCUUUAAAAACUCAUGGCUGCCCAGGUUGGAGUAGGCUGCACACAGAGGCAGAGCUUCCAACGGCAAGGGUCCUCACAGCAGAGGAGCGUCAGCUGCUUGACAAGAACAUCAGAGGGAAAUUUCAAGCUGUGGCCUCUCUGGCCUCCAAAAUCCCUUCCAACUAGGGAUUAUCUAAUCCUUCGAUUAGUGAAUCUCCUUCAAGUUGUCUACUUCACCAACUUAAGAAGGAAAUGAACUCCCCGGUGCUGAGACCAGAUCAGUGCAAAUGUGGCCGAGGGACUUGGGUUUUCCUUUUACUGCUGAAUCUGGUUUUCUUGAGUUUCAGCCUUGAUUCAUCUGCACCCUCCACACAGACUAAGUGUCAGAUGCAUCGUUAUGCUGACUUUUGCAGAGACGGCUCAGGAUCAUUUACACAGAGGACUGCGGCAGUUGCGAUAUCCAAGCAGGAGCCUAGGGGACCGUGUUUCUCCCCGUCUCUGCAGUACCACUCAGCACACAGGUUUAUGUUGGCCUCUCCCAGCAUCUCACAUCAGGUACAAGGUAGGGAAUGAGCAGUCAAGUCUAAAUUCACUGAGAAAAACCCCGGAGAUGAAGCCAACUUUGUUCAAGCUUUUAAAGAAAUUUAUUUUGAAGCACCUGCAAUUUGGAAUAAUUAGAAGCACUUCGUUUUCGGCAUCCUGUCCAGCCCACGUCCAGGAGGAAUCCUGGGGACCCUGAGGCCACUUGAGAGAAUACAUCGCGGUGAGCCAGAAGCCAAGACAAAAGAGGACAUGAGUAAUCGAUUGUCAUCCUAAUUAGCCUUUCCAGUAUAUUUCUCCAAAAUUAAGAGAAGAACUUUAUGACUGGAAAAUAAGUGCCUCACAAAGUCAGUCAGCUUCCAACGUGUUGUUUUCCUCAAAAGAACAGCGAGACCUUUUGAUUAUAG
This 1059-nucleotide long non-coding RNA is filed under the name Equus caballus (horse). RNAcentral describes it as "lncRNA (ENSECAG00000041467.2)". The record is from RNAcentral. Lineage: Eukaryota; Metazoa; Chordata; Mammalia; Perissodactyla; Equidae.